AGAUCAAAUUGUUGGUCGUGCCUUGGUACGCACUGGCAUUAUUGGUUUCUCCCUUCUGACGAAUCAUGAUGUCAUUAAUUUGGUGUUGUGGGGAAUCAGGACUGUUACUUUGAAAAAAUUAGAGUGUUUAAAGCAGGCUCACGCUUGAAUACAUUAGCAUGGAAUAACGGAAUAGGACGUUUGAUUCUAUUUUGUUGGUUUCUAGGAUCGACGUA
This 215-nucleotide ribosomal RNA is filed under the name Campeiostachys nutans. RNAcentral describes it as "Elymus nutans partial small subunit ribosomal RNA". The stretch from base 38 to 215 matches the Rfam family "Eukaryotic small subunit ribosomal RNA", at positions 685 to 864 of the family's 1831-position model. The record is from RNAcentral. Lineage: Eukaryota; Viridiplantae; Streptophyta; Magnoliopsida; Poales; Poaceae.